UACAUGUCGCACAUGUGGUACCUGAUGUGU
Molecule: non-coding RNA, 30 nt
Filed under: Mus musculus (house mouse)
Lineage: Eukaryota; Metazoa; Chordata; Mammalia; Rodentia; Muridae
Source: RNAcentral